GUCGCUGGGUUUGCCCUGGCUCUGGUUCGGGCGAAAGGGGCGAAGUGCUUUUUCCUUGACUUUUAGCUUCGCCGCGGCAGCGAGAUUAAGCGAAUUAGCCCCCGAGGCUCCCAAGACGACAGAGGCCGAGCUCAAGAACCUGUAUGAAGGCAAGGAUUUUUCAGAGCUUUGGAGUGGAUUGCUACCAGUAUGCUGACAAAAACCAGCUCUGCCACUUUUGCAGCCAACUUCAAGGAGGCAAUCAGCACCAUUAAUCACUGUGAAAGUUUUGCUGCUUAGUGACAAGGCUAUGCAAUGAGAAGGUCACUAUCAUGGGACAGAACAACCUUGAGAUGCUUCCAUUUGCAAUCCUUGCAGAAGAGGGCCAUGGAUCUCUUCAUAAGCCCUCAUAGAAAAAAAGCAAAGGAAUCAUAGACAGCCAAGGAAAAACCCUAAAGAUUGCAAGCAAAGAUGAUUUUGGAGAAUACCCUCAUUUUCCCAAGCAAGACAUACCGUAUGUCCUCAGUGCCCAAAUUAUGUUGAUAAAAUGGUGUGGGGGGAAAAGCAGACUGGAAGGCUAGAAUAAUAAUAUUCA
Molecule: long non-coding RNA, 574 nt
Organism: Ahaetulla prasina
Lineage: Eukaryota; Metazoa; Chordata; Lepidosauria; Squamata; Colubridae
Exons: 5
Source: RefSeq, a predicted model, not a curated record